AGUGAACGCUGGCGGUAGGCCUAACACAUGCAAGUCGAACGGCAGCACAGGAGAGCUUGCUCCCUGGGUGGCGAGUGGCGGACGGGUGAGGAAUACAUCGGAAUCUACUCUGUCGUGGGGGAUAACGUAGGGAACCUUACGCUAAUACCGCAUACGACCUACGGGUGAAAGCAGGGGACCUUCGGGCCUUGCGCGAUUGAAUGAGCCGAUGUCGGAUUAGCUAGUUGGCGGGGUAAAGGCCCACCAAGGCGACGAUCCGUAGCUGGUCUGAGAGGAUGAUCAGCCACACUGGAAUUGAGACCCGGUGCAGACUCCUACGGGAGGAAGCAGUGGGGAAUAUUGGACAAUGGGCGCAAGCCUGAUCCAGCCAUACCGCGUGGGUGAAGAGGGCCUUCGGGUUGUAAAGCCCUUUUGUUGGGAAAGAAAUCCAGCUGGCUAAUACCCGGUUGGGAUGACGGUACCCAAAGAAUAAGCACCGGCUAACUUCGUGCCAGCCGCCGCCGUAA
RNAcentral lists this ribosomal RNA (506 nucleotides) under uncultured bacterium. RNAcentral describes it as "partial 16S ribosomal RNA". It matches the Rfam family "Bacterial small subunit ribosomal RNA", at positions 29 to 523 of the family's 1533-position model. The record is from RNAcentral.